This 621-nucleotide long non-coding RNA is filed under the name Phoenix dactylifera (date palm). RNAcentral's name for it is "long non-coding RNA (PDAC_LNC002593)". The record is from RNAcentral. Lineage: Eukaryota; Viridiplantae; Streptophyta; Magnoliopsida; Arecales; Arecaceae.
ACACUUGGACAGGAUUUUCACUGAAACACUCAAUUGAAUUCAUUAGUAAUCACAAGAUAUACUCAAAUGCUUUGAGCUCAUCAAAAUCAAAUGGGAUUUUAAUCAAUCACUCCACAACCAUACAAUAUUCUAAAAAUAUACAUAUAAUCCAUGCAUCAAAUUCGAAAUCACGAAUAAUUCGAUUUGUAAAACAGAUAUUUAGUUUGCCGAUAAAUCUAGUAAAGAGGUUACAUCACUUACCUUGCGAACGCGAUCCACGACAAAUCCAAUUAAUUCCACAAAUCCCUUCCAGAACCUAAUAUUCAAAAAUCGUAUUCAUCUUUUAAAAUUCAUCACAAUAAAUAUAUAUAAAGACUUAAAUUUUUAAUAUCCUCCUAUGGCUGGCAUUAUUAUUAAAUUAUUUAAUAAUUAAAUAAUAUCCUAAUAUCCUCCUUGCCUAGCACCCCAAGUUUGGAUUCAUACCCGUAAACCAUUCUCUUUCUUUAUUAUUAUUAAAUUAUUUUCCUUUUCUUUUCUUUUCUUUUCUUUUCUUUUCUUUUUCUUUUUCUUUUUCUUCUUCUUCUUUUCUCUUUUCUUUUUCCUUCUUUUCUUUUUCUUCUUUCUUCUUUUCUCUCCCGACUC